This 488-nucleotide ribosomal RNA is filed under the name uncultured bacterium. Its description in RNAcentral is "partial 16S ribosomal RNA". It matches the Rfam family "Bacterial small subunit ribosomal RNA", at positions 30 to 507 of the family's 1533-position model. The record is from RNAcentral.
AUUGAACGCUGGCGGCAGGCCUAACACAUGCAAGUCGAACGGUAGCACAGAGAGCUUGCUCUCGGGUGAUGAGUGGCGGACGGGUGAGUAAUGUCUGGGAAACUGCCCGAUGGAGGGGGAUAACUACUGGAAACGGUAGCUAAUACCGCAUAAUGUCGCAAGACCAAAGAGGGGGACCUUCGGGCCUCUUGCCAUCGGAUGUGCCCAGAUGGGAUUAGCUUGUUGGUGAGGUAAUGGCUCACCAAGGCGACGAUCCCUAGCUGGUCUGAGAGGAUGACCAGCCACACUGGAACUGAGACACGGUCCAGACUCCUACGGGAGGCAGCAGUGGGGAAUAUUGCACAAUGGGCGCAAGCCUGAUGCAGCCAUGCCGCGUGUGUGAAGAAGGCCUUCGGGUUGUAAAGCACUUUCAGCGGGGAGGAAGGCGAUACGGUUAAUAACCGUGUUGAUUGACGUUACCCGCAGAAGAAGCACCGGCUAACUCCGUG